GCCUUAAAACUGUUAAGUUAAAAUACCUAAUAUAUUUAUAAAAAUCAAAGAAUUGAUAUAAAAACGUUAAAGAAGUACUGUAAUAAGAAACUUUAGUAAGAGCUAUAAAAAUAGUACUGUGAAGGAAGAUUGAAAUAACAUUAAAAAUUAAAAUGGAUAAAGAAAAAUUUAUUACUUGUACCUUUUGUAUGAUGGUUAAGCGAGAUUACACUGAGAAUCUUUUGUUUCCCGAAACUUAAUGAGCUAAUAUACUCUGUCUUAUAAGAGGCUAAAAGGCUACUGUUGCAAUAGUAGUUUUGGAGGGCAUAUUAGGUGUGAAAUGCUAAUCGCAUUGAGUUAUAGCUGGUUCUUCAAGAAAUUAAUUUAAGUUAAUAGCGAAAUUAUAAGAUAAAAAGUUCCUUCAGGAAAACAAGACUUUUUUAUAAAAAUUCGCUUUAAGACAAGUAAGGAUAAGCUUAUUUGUCAAGUAGGAAAAAGCCUUAAUAAAUAAUUAAAAACAUUGAGUAUAGAAAUAUUUAAAAAAGGAUAAGUAGGAUUAAUGGCAUCCAACUAAAAUAAAAGCGUUAAAGCUUUUCUUUUAUUAGUAAAAUAUAAAAUAUUGAUUAUCAAGUUUGAAGUUUUUAUUAAAAUUAUUGAAGACUUUUAUAAAAGUUUAUAAGAUAAAAUGCUUAAAUUAGUAAAGUCAUUCAAUUAGUUGAAAAUUAAUCAUACCUAACUUCGGAAGGGUAGAAAGUGAAAAUAAUCAGGAAUCACACUUCUAUGAAAUGUCUUCCAACUCAGGUAAUUGAAAAAUAAUUUAAUCAAAUGAGGAAAAGGAACUCGGCAAAUAUUGACUUCGCCUGUUUACCAAAAACAUCGCCCCUUGCAAAAAAAUUGAUGAAUAAGGGGUCCUGCCUGCCCAGUGACUUAGUUAAACGGCCGCGGUAUCUUGACCGUGCAAAGGUAGCAUAAUCAUUUGCCUCUUAAAUAGAGGCUGGUAUGAAUGGCAAGACUGGAGUUAAGCUGUCUCUUUCUCAUUACUUGAAUUUAAUAUUUUUGUGAAGAAGCAGAAAUAAAUUCGUAGGACGAGAAGACCCUAUCGAGCUUUAGUGAAAUUAUUAGUGGUGUGUGAGUAUGAAGCAACUAAUAAAGUAAGUUAUUUACAAGAAGAAUUUAAUGCUUUUUAUUUAACUAUGUAAUAAAAUAAUUUUGAUUGGGGCAAUCGCGGAGUAUAAAAAUCCUCCGCUUCAAAUGUUAAAAAUUACUAUUUUUAAAUGAAGUGAUCCGCUGUAUAGCGAGCAAAGGAAUAAGUUACCGUAGGGAUAACAGCGUAAUUUUUUUGGAGAGUUCAUAUUGAUAAAAAAGUUUGCGACCUCGAUGUUGGAUCGAGAUUUCCUAGAGAUGCAGCAGUUUCUAAGGGUUGGUCUGUUCGACCAUUAAAAUCUUACGUGAUCUGAGUUCAGACCGGCGUAAGCCAGGUCAGUUUCUAUCCACGAAAGUUAUACUUUUCUUAGUACGAAAGGACCAGAAAAGUAGUGCCAAUUUUUAAAAAAAAGCACUAAAAAAAACUUUUGAAAAAAAAAUGAAAAUUUUGAGAAAAAAUUUUAAGAAAUGUUAUUUUUG
RNAcentral lists this ribosomal RNA (1602 nucleotides) under Aphelasterias japonica. RNAcentral describes it as "16S ribosomal RNA". It matches the Rfam family "Bacterial large subunit ribosomal RNA". Lineage: Eukaryota; Metazoa; Echinodermata; Asteroidea; Forcipulatida; Asteriidae. The record is from RNAcentral.